GUGAACGCUGGCGGUAGGCCUAACCCCUGCCAGUCGAACGGCAGCACUGUAAGAGCUUGCUCUUACGGGUGGCGAGUGGCGGACGGGUGAGGAAUACAUCGGAAUCUACUUUUUCGUGGGGGAUAACGUAGGGAAACUUACGCUAAUACCGCAUACGACCUACGGGUGAAAGCAGGGGAUCUUCGGACCUUGCGCGAUUGAAUGAGCCGAUGUCGGAUUAGCUAGUUGGCGGGGUAAAGGCCCACCAAGGCGACGAUCCGUAGCCGGUCUGAGAGGAUGAUCAGCCACACUGGAACUGAGACACGGUCCAGACUCCUACGGGAGGCAGCAGUGGGGAAUAUUGGACAAUGGGCGCAAGCCUGAUCCAGCCAUACCGCGUGGGUGAAGAAGGCCUUCGGGUUGUAAAGCCCUUUUGUUGGGAAAGAAAAGCAGCAGGUUAAUACCCCGCUGUUCUGACGGUACCCAAAGAAUAAGCACCGGCUAACUUCGU
RNAcentral lists this ribosomal RNA (490 nucleotides) under uncultured bacterium. Its description in RNAcentral is "partial 16S ribosomal RNA". It matches the Rfam family "Bacterial small subunit ribosomal RNA", at positions 29 to 506 of the family's 1533-position model. The record is from RNAcentral.